UACAUCAUGCUGAUAAGAAAAAGUAGAGGUUUGCUGCUAGACAGAGAGUCUUCGUUAGGUGUGAGAAGAUUAGCCGUGCGCUUUGAAAAUGGUCUUUGAGUGAUAGCAGUCAAGGAAGUUCUUUCUAAAACUGCUACGGGUAAGCCCGAUACAGCUUGCCAGUAUACCUAAGUGUACUGAUGGAGUUGGUAUUUGUGAGAAUACCAUGAAUUCAAGGUGGUAACACGUUUUAACGUCCUUGCA
Molecule: non-coding RNA, 243 nt
Filed under: Streptococcus sp.
Lineage: Bacteria; Bacillati; Bacillota; Bacilli; Lactobacillales; Streptococcaceae
Description: T-box sequence
Rfam family: T-box leader
About the family: Uncharged tRNA acts as the effector for transcription antitermination of genes in the T-box leader family. T-boxes are found upstream of many aminoacyl-tRNA synthetase genes and some amino acid biosynthetic genes usually in Gram-positive bacteria. The anticodon of a specific tRNA base pairs to a specifier sequence within the T-box motif, and the NCCA acceptor tail of the tRNA base pairs to a conserved bulge in the T-box antiterminator hairpin.
Source: RNAcentral